Molecule: long non-coding RNA, 473 nt
Filed under: Salmo salar (Atlantic salmon)
Lineage: Eukaryota; Metazoa; Chordata; Actinopteri; Salmoniformes; Salmonidae
Description: lncRNA (ENSSSAG00000107903.1)
Source: RNAcentral
GUAUUACGGUACAGAGUCAAUGUGGAGGCUAUAUACAGGGUGUUACGGUACAGAGUCAAUGUGGAGGCUAUAUACAGGGGGUACCGGUACAGAGUCAAUGUGGAGGCUAUAUACAGGGUGUUACGGUACAGAGUCAAUGUGGAGGCUAUAUACAGGGUAUUACGGUACAGAGUCAAUGUGGAGGCUAUAUACAGGGUGUUACGGUACAGAGUCAAUGUGGAGGCUAUAUACAGGGUGUUACGGUACAGAGUCAAUGUGGAGGCUAUAUACAGGGUGUUACGGUACAGAGUCAAUGUGGAGGCUAUAUACAGGGUGUUACGGUACAGAGUCAGUGUGGAGGCUAUAUACAGGGUGUUACGGUACAGAGUCAGUGUGGAGGCUAUAUACAGGGUGUUACGGUACAGAGUCAAUGUGGAGGCUAUAUACAGGGUGUUACGGUACAGAGUCAAUGUGGAGGCUAUAUACAGGGUGUU